Molecule: small nucleolar RNA, 76 nt
Organism: Dipodomys ordii (Ord's kangaroo rat)
Lineage: Eukaryota; Metazoa; Chordata; Mammalia; Rodentia; Heteromyidae
Source: Ensembl
GUGCGAUGAUGUAUGAAUUUCUUCACCUGAGGUCCUCGUGGAGAGUGAAAUUCGAGCUUUUUAACACUGAGUCACA